This is a non-coding RNA of Paramuricea clavata, 789 nucleotides long. Lineage: Eukaryota; Metazoa; Cnidaria; Anthozoa; Malacalcyonacea; Plexauridae. The record is from the annotation of a GenBank genome assembly.
AACGCAUGCAAUAACUGGUGCAUUGCUGUUGACAUAAAAUUGAAGCCAAAUGCGCGCAGGUACAUCGAAUUCAAAUUACUGUUUCGCGGACAUUUUUUGGAUAGCUAAAGUAAAAUGUAUUCGAAUUCUAGACACUCAGCUGGUGCUUUUAUUCGGAUUCUGUACGUACAUUCAUUCGAUAUUAUAUAUUUCUAAGUUAGGUAAACAAUGUCUUCGACUGUUCUUGACUGAUUUCUUUCGUUAUCAAUUGACCGUCACUCAUUUGCGAAAGAAUUGCAGCGGCAGCCUCUAAAGAUUCUUCAAUUCAGUCUCAAAGUCAUCCUCAUUAAGAAAUGUCACCCUGGUGUACUGUAUUUCUUUUGAAGCUGUUUCAUUUUUACUGCUCAUUCAUAAUAGCCGUGCCAGAUGCACGUCUUCCAGCAAUUUUUCAAGUUUUGACAGGACUAAUGAAUAGACUUCUAUAUUAUCAUCAUGACCAUCAUGGAUACGAGAUUUUGCAAUGCUUCAUUUGCAGGACAGGUCCUCUACUUUGCAUCGUCUAUUAGUACUGCCAAUGGAUCAAGUUUAUUUUCUACAUCUGUUUCAUCAGAGACAGCAGCAGCAGAGCUGCAUGGCCCCAGACCUUUCACUUGACAGUUUUUCAUCAUGCGAAGAUAUUGACUUAUCAGCGUCGAAUUCCGUAUAUCGCUUUCUUUUUCACUAAAUAAAGUUUGACCUUUGUCAGAUUCAUCUGUUUCACCUAUGUCAGACCUGUGUCAAAAAACAUCACAUCUACCAAGGGAAAUAUUG